UUUUCAUUUCCUUUCGCCGCACAAAACAGCCAGUCACAGCGAAGACUCUCCUUUUGUCUAUGGUCUUCCAUUGUUUUUAAAUCUUGAACCUAGACUCAUUUUACCGUCAUACAAACGAAUCACAUCCUCUAUUGAUAUCACAAUACACCGGAGUUUCGCCGGAGAAUCGGAGAAGACGACCGGUUGUCGCGACCAAGUUACACUACUAUCACCUUCCCUCCCCCACAUCUCGACACCCAAACACUCGCAACACGUUUCGAUAUCCUAACACCUCACCUCAUUCUGUUUCGACACAAACAACACUCACCGUUCUUUUCAUAUUACCCACACGCUCGCCGGAAAGGUCGGAGGCAUCGCCGGAGACCGAGAAGACGACCGGAGAUACCCUUGUUGGAGACCGCAAGUCGCCGGAGAACUCGUAUCAAUGUCGGAGCUUACGUCUGGAUUCACGCCAUUUCCGUUUCGGGUAAUCGCUUACGUUCGACCCUUGGUUUUCCCAAUCUUUACUCGUGCGUUUAUUCAAGAAAUUCUCAUACGCAACCACUGUUGAUGAGGACGAUGCUAAGAAAAGAAAUAACGUUGAUGCCUAGAUACACAUAUAGACGUUAGGGUUUAAUAUGUUGUAUCAAAUUUUGUUAUGUUAUCAUGUUGUUUCGUUAAACUUGUUGUAUUUGAAUCUCUUGUAAUGUUGACUAUUUGAAGUUAUGAAAUGAAAUGAAAUUUGGAUUUU
Molecule: long non-coding RNA, 730 nt
Filed under: Helianthus annuus (common sunflower)
Lineage: Eukaryota; Viridiplantae; Streptophyta; Magnoliopsida; Asterales; Asteraceae
Source: RNAcentral